UCCACGCCGUAAACGAUGGUUACUAGCUGUUCGGAUUUCGGUCUGAGUGGCUAAGCGAAAGUGAUAAGUAACCCACCUGGGGAGUACGUUCGCAAGAAUGAAACUCAAAGGAAUUGACGGGGGCCCGCACAAGCGGUGGAGCAUGUGGUUUAAUUCGAUGAUACGCGAGGAACCUUACCAGGGCUUAAAUGUAGAUUGACAGGUUUAGAGAUAGACUUUUCUUCGGACAAUUUACAAGGUGCUGCAUGGUUGUCGUCAGCUCGUGCCGUGGGGUGUCAGGUUAAGUCCUAUAACGAGCGCAACCCCUGUUGUUAGUUGCCAUCGAGUAAUGUCGGGAACUCUAACAAGACUGCCGGUGACCAAACCGGCGGAA
Molecule: ribosomal RNA, 373 nt
Filed under: uncultured Flavobacterium sp.
Lineage: Bacteria; Pseudomonadati; Bacteroidota; Flavobacteriia; Flavobacteriales; Flavobacteriaceae
Description: bacterial SSU rRNA
Rfam family: Bacterial small subunit ribosomal RNA
Source: RNAcentral